Molecule: ribosomal RNA, 239 nt
Filed under: uncultured bacterium
Lineage: Bacteria
Description: partial 16S ribosomal RNA
Rfam family: Bacterial small subunit ribosomal RNA
Source: RNAcentral
AAUCCUGGCUCAGGAUGAACGCUAGCUACAGGCUUAACACAUGCAAGUCGAGGGGCAGCAUGUUGGUUUGCUUGCAACCAAUGAUGGCGACCGGCGCACGGGUGAGUAACGCGUAUCCAACCUUCCGCAUACUCGGGAAUAGCCUUUCGAAAGAAAGAUUAAUGCCCGAUGGUUUCCCGAAUCCGCAUGAGAACGGGAAUAAAGAUUCAUCGGUAUGCGAUGGGGAUGCGUCCCAUUAG